CACACCGCCCGUCACACCAUGGGAGUUGGCUUUACCCGAAGACGGUGCGCUAACCAGCAAUGGAGGCAGCCAACCACGGUAGGUUCAGUGACUGGGGUG
This 99-nucleotide ribosomal RNA is filed under the name uncultured bacterium. RNAcentral's name for it is "partial 16S ribosomal RNA". It matches the Rfam family "Bacterial small subunit ribosomal RNA", at positions 1386 to 1482 of the family's 1533-position model. The record is from RNAcentral.